This is a long non-coding RNA of Neofelis nebulosa (Clouded leopard), 533 nucleotides long. RefSeq lists it as uncharacterized. NCBI's taxonomy places the organism in Eukaryota, Metazoa, Chordata, Mammalia, Carnivora, Felidae. The record is from RefSeq and is a predicted model, not a curated record. The transcript is spliced from 2 exons.
AUUAACCAGCAAUAGGAGGCUUGAAAGAAGCAAACCUCUGGGGACUUUUGCUCUUCUUUGGUUGGCUGUGAGCAGAGGGAGAAUGGAACAAAAAGGAACCUUCCAGAACUUCACUGUCCAAUAUGGUAGCCACAGUAGCUAUUGGGCACUUAAAAUGUGAUUGUCCAAAUCAAGAUGUGCUGUAAGCAUAAAAUACGUACCAGAUUUUGAAGAUUUGUAUGAAACAAGAAGGGAAGAGGUCAUGUAAGCACACACUAAGACGGAGGUAAACUACAAACCAAGAAAAGAGGCCUCAGAUCGAAACCUACCCUGUCAGCACCUUGAUCUUGGACUUCAGCCUCUGGAACCACGAGAAAUGAAUUUCUGAUGUUUAAGGCACUGGUUUAUCGUGUUUGUUAUGGUGGCUCAAACAGACUAAGGUAAACACUAUACUACAUCCUCCUGCUCAGCACAGAAUUGUAGGGAAUCAGUGUGUAAAUGUUUAGGCCACGAUAAACACUAAACACUACAAUGAAUGCUGGAAUAAUACACAA